GUACAUGGUGAAUAUUUAUUGUUUUUCAGUUCCUUUCAGCACAUUUUUGGAGCUAUAAUUUUUUAUUCUGUCUUUCUUUCAGAGCCUGUAAGAGCAACGCUAGCUACCUUUGACGAUGAUCAGUUGGAUAAUAAUUCACACACGGAAACAACAUUGAACGAUUUCACUCUCGAUUCUGAAAUCAGACAAGGUAAUGAUUUUGCCGAACCUAAACAUCCAUUUGGUAAUCGAUAUUCUAAAUCAUCAUUUUGGCUUCUUAGUGUUUGUUCUUAUGCUUUGUGAGAAUACCUUACUAAACGUGUCAAAUAUCAUACUCAUUCUUUAUGCAUAAUCAAUCACAAUAAUAAAUUGAUGAAUAGUUAUAAAAAGAAAAUGAGAAAUCAAAAUGUUACCGGUACCAUUUUUACGGGUAUUAGUUUUAGUUUAAAAGAAUCAAAGACCAGAAGUUGAACUUUUCCUUCUAUUAAAUAUCAAAUCUCUCUCUCUUAUUAUAAUUUAAUCAUCCUCUUUUUCUUUACAUUUCUCACCUAACCAAUCAAAUAUAAGAAAGCUGGUCUCUUCAGCUAACCCUCCUCCGAAACGAGUGGAAAUGCAAAAAAUCUGACCUUUGAGGAGGACGUCUCAAAGUUCCGAAUAUGUCCGAAAGUUUCUGCUUGUCGAGUUUAAGAAAAAAAGCGCUGUCAACAUUUUUGUGAGAUUCCCGGCCGCACUUUGAAUCCCUCCUGACGCUUCUGCUGAAAAAUGAAAGAAGAUUUUCCUCGAGUCAAACUGGGAGUUUUAACAAUUCAGGGAUUCCCGGGGAUAUUGACGGGGACGUCAGUUAAGCCGCUGUCUAAGUCCUCGUAAUUUUCGGAUCCCUCCGCACUUAUCGAAGCCUCGUCGGGAAGGAUGCGCAUCGAAGUUUUUAAUCAACUGGUUUAAUUAGGAGUCGGGCGGCUGCCUCGCCUCACCUGCAAAUCGGAGGAAUUCCAGCGGACGGAGCCGCGGCGAAUUUUCUUGUAAAUUUUCCACCCGCUUCAGCCGAGCUUUGAAGGGUGUCGAGCUUUCAUCGGAACCCGCCUCACGCCCGGAUCCUACCAUUAUCUCUGCCAAAGAGCCUAUUCAAAAACGCCAAGAACCCCCGCCCGGUAAACGUUGCCCGACCCCGCUGUAACAUUUCAAAUACUCUUAUGAAUAUUUUUACCGUACCCCAUGGCCAAAAAUUAAAAUUUGAUGUCUUAAUUGCAACAUCUCAAAAUUUCCG
Molecule: long non-coding RNA, 1243 nt
Filed under: Bemisia tabaci
Lineage: Eukaryota; Metazoa; Arthropoda; Insecta; Hemiptera; Aleyrodidae
Description: lncRNA ENSSSA1NGG011946
Source: RNAcentral